CUUUUCUCAACAACAACACGUUUCUCAUCUGUUCUUCACUUUUACUCAUUUCUGUCGCAUACAUACACUUACAACACUUUAAAAUGAUUUCCCUCUUGUUAUCCUACUACUCACUUUGUUCUUAUUUGAUCAGUAUUUUUACUGAAAUGAUGAUAACCGCAGGCUAGCACAUGCUAUGAUGCCAUGCACAAAAUAAGUUGGACAUGAUGACGAAAUUGAACGGAUAUAUGAAAUGGGCGCGCAUAAAAAUGUGCUGCUAAUUUGUGAACAAAAUGCAUGUCUGAUCCAACUAUUGAAAAAAAAACAA
RNAcentral lists this long non-coding RNA (307 nucleotides) under Mytilus galloprovincialis (Mediterranean mussel). Lineage: Eukaryota; Metazoa; Mollusca; Bivalvia; Mytilida; Mytilidae. The record is from RNAcentral.